This is a long non-coding RNA of Nelumbo nucifera (sacred lotus), 329 nucleotides long. RefSeq lists it as uncharacterized. NCBI's taxonomy places the organism in Eukaryota, Viridiplantae, Streptophyta, Magnoliopsida, Proteales, Nelumbonaceae. The record is from RefSeq and is a predicted model, not a curated record.
AGGCACCGUUGAACUUGGAAAUAAUUUUAAAUUGCUGCACGUAUUAUAUGUCCCAAAACUCAAUUGGAAUUUAUUGUCAGUAGGUGAACAGCUUGAUGGGGUCUAUGUCUUCAAGGGUGUGGCGUCGGUUUGAGCUUACAAGACAGAUGGAAUUGGGGCAUACGAUUUGUGGCAUCGGAGAUUGGGACACCCUUCUUAUCAAACACUUAGCUUACUUCUUAAUCUCAGUAAUAGUAAGAACAAAACCUGUGAUGUUUGUUUGAAGGCAAAACAAACUAGAUAUGUUUUUAUUCAAAGCAGCAAUAAGGUGACUGAUUGUUUUGCAUUAA